AGUGAACGCUGGCGGUAGGCCUAACACAUGCAAGUCGAACGGCAGCACAGUAAGAGCUUGCUCUUACGGGUGGCGAGUGGCGGACGGGUGAGGAAUACAUCGGAAUCUACUUUUUCGUGGGGGAUAACGUAGGGAAACUUACGCUAAUACCGCAUACGACCUACGGGUGAAAGCAGUGGAUCUUCGGACCUUGCGCGAUUGAAUGAGCCGAUGUCGGAUUAGCUAGUUGGCGGGGUAAAGGCCCACCAAGGCGACGAUCCGCAGCUGGUCUGAGUGGAGGGUCGGCCGCACGAGAAGUGAGACAGGGUCCAGGCUCCUACGAGAGGCAGCAGUGGGGAAUAUUGGGCAAUGGGGGCGAGCCUUAUCCAACGGGACCGAGUCGGUUGCAGAGACCUUCGGUUUGUAAAGCCCUUUUGUUGGGAAAAAAAAGCUGCAGGUUAAUACCACGCUGUUCUGACGGUACCGGAAGAAUAAGCACCGGCUAACUACGUG
This 492-nucleotide ribosomal RNA is filed under the name uncultured bacterium. RNAcentral's name for it is "partial 16S ribosomal RNA". It matches the Rfam family "Bacterial small subunit ribosomal RNA", at positions 29 to 507 of the family's 1533-position model. The record is from RNAcentral.